This 225-nucleotide ribosomal RNA is filed under the name uncultured bacterium. RNAcentral describes it as "partial 16S ribosomal RNA". It matches the Rfam family "Bacterial small subunit ribosomal RNA", at positions 109 to 334 of the family's 1533-position model. The record is from RNAcentral.
CGUAACACGUGAGCAACCUGCCUAGGUGUGGGGGAUAGCCGGCCCAACGGCCGGGUAAUACCGCAUACGCUCAACACGAGGCAUUUCGAGUUGAGGAAACCUUCGGGGCACUAUGAGGGGCUCGCGGCCUAUCAGCUAGUUGGUGAGGUAAUGGCUCACCAAGGCUACGACGGGUAGCUGGUCUGAGAGGAUGGCCAGCCACAUUGGGACUGAGAAACGGCCCAG